Molecule: transfer RNA, 87 nt
Filed under: Bacillota bacterium
Lineage: Bacteria; Bacillati; Bacillota
Also listed under: 1 other name
Description: tRNA-Leu
Rfam family: tRNA
About the family: Transfer RNA (tRNA) molecules are approximately 80 nucleotides in length.
Source: RNAcentral
GCCGAUGUGGUGGAAUUGGCAGACGCGCGGGACUCAAAAUCCCGUGGUAGCGAUACCGUGUGGGUUCGACCCCCACCAUCGGCACCA